RNAcentral lists this ribosomal RNA (731 nucleotides) under uncultured bacterium. RNAcentral describes it as "bacterial SSU rRNA". It matches the Rfam family "Bacterial small subunit ribosomal RNA", at positions 801 to 1528 of the family's 1533-position model. The record is from RNAcentral.
GUAACGUUGGGCCACUAGAUUGGGGGACAUUCCCACGUUUUCCGCCGUCGUAGCUAACGCAUUAAGUGGCCCCGCCUGGGGAGUACGGCCCGCAAGGCUAAAAACCUCAAAGGAAUUGACGGGGGCCCGCACAACGNCGGAGCAUGCUGAUUAAUUCGAUGCAACGCGAAGAACCUUACCAAGGCUUGACAUGCACCGGGCGACUGCAGAGAUGUGGUUUUCUUCGGACUGGUGCACAGGUGGUGCAUGGUUGUCGUCAGCUCGUGUCGUGAGAUGUUGGGUUAAGUCCCGCAACGAGCGCAACCCUCGUUCUAUGUUGCCAGCACGUCAUGGUGGGGACUCAUAGGAGACUGCCGGGGUCAACUCGGAGGAAGGUGGGGACGACGUCAAAUCAUCAUGCCCCUUAUGUCUUGGGCUUCAAGCAUGCUACAAUGGUCGGUACAAUGGGUUGCGAAACUGUGAGGUGGAGCGAAUCCCAAAAAGCCGGCCUCAGUUCGGAUUGGGGUCUGCAACUCGACCCCAUGAAGUCGGAGUCGCUAGUAAUCGCAGAUCAGCAACGCUGCGGUGAAUACGUUCCCGGGCCUUGUACACACCGCCCGUCAAGUCACGAAAGUCGGUAACACCCGAAGCCAGUGGCCCAUCCUCGUGAGGGAGCUGUCGAAGGUGGGAUUGGUGAUUGGGACUAACGUCGUAACAAGGUAGCCGUACCGGAAGGUGCGGCUGGAUCACCU